GAUCUUUCUUCAAGGAUAUUGGGCUUGUCCCCUAAUUCUGGUGAAAAUUAUCCGGGUUUGAUUGUCAUCGACACAUUCAACAUCUGAGUGGCAUGAGGCACAGCAAUUCUGGAAUUCGUAUUGUUAUACUUUUCCUGUGAUUGGUUUUCAUAGUAUUUUUUUCCCCCUGUUUUAAGUUUCAGUCUGAUGAAUAUUGGCUUUUAUUCUUCUUUUCAAUAGAUUGACUUUCUGUGCUGUUUAUUCAUUUAAACACACUAUAUUCGAAUCAGGAAAGCAACUCAUGCCUAUGGACCUUAGCGGACGUGUUUCGUUCGAAUAAUGCUGUUCACCAGCUCUGCUGAUGAUUAGCAUCUAAUGUGGCAGUGAGUCAGGUUACAUAUUAUAGCAUUACUCUUUUCAUUUACUCUGAUCCUUAGUAGCCUUUUGAUGAAUUUUCCUUCCAAAAUGGUGAUGAUUUUUUGUUUUUACA
Olea europaea var. sylvestris is the source of this 469-nucleotide long non-coding RNA. RefSeq lists it as uncharacterized. The transcript is spliced from 2 exons. The record is from RefSeq and is a predicted model, not a curated record. NCBI's taxonomy places the organism in Eukaryota, Viridiplantae, Streptophyta, Magnoliopsida, Lamiales, Oleaceae.